AGGCACAGGGAGAGAGACGGGAGAUACAGCGAGCGAGAUACAGACAGAGGACGGGGUCCAAGGGGGAGGUCACUGGAAAGUUGCCCCCGCCCGCUGCCGAGGCCGGUAUUCAUGGACUUGAAUGAGCAGCGCUGGAGCCUAGACCAAACAGGGACCUCUCCUUGGGGCUGGGAAAGAUAACAAAUUGCACUUUCAUUGAAGGGCAUUUGCAGCUGCGGGAGGGACCUUCGUAGGGCCGCGCCGGGAUGAAGACCCUGCAUUCAGAAGUCGGGCUGCUGCGCUCUUCUCGCCAGGCGAGCGGUCCCUGCUUCGCCGGUUGGCUCCAGGGCACUGUGGGAAGGGGCAGCCCGGCGCUCGGGUGCCCGAGACACAUUUAGUGCCUGUGUCUGAGCGCCGCUCCCGCCCCCCAGCUUCUGGGCUCGCCUCUCUCCUGGCCAGUAGCGCUGUGGAAUUUUCUGUUUGAGAAGCGGAAGGCGUGCGGAGGGGCAAGGGCUGGAGGUGGCGAGACAGCCGGGACAGAGACGCCAGUGGCACAUGGUGAAGGUGCUUUGGAGCACCGUCUGUGAUUACAAUUUACAUCUUUUCCUGGGAUACUCUCUUGAAAGGAUCAGCAGACAUCCAAUUUACUCAGAUAUAAUCCCAGAUUAAUGAAGUCGUUGAAGAGCAGAUUACGCUUGUCUCACUAAGACUGGGGCAACAGCUGUGAUAUUACAAUGAGUCAUUACACACCUUCUGUUCACCAAGGAGCCCCGAACCAUCUUGUCUACAGAGAAAACUGUUGAGCAUCACAUGCCAAGAGUUAUAUCAAGUUAAAAACAAAAAACAAAAAACUGCAUAGUUUGGAUCUUUUCCUGCCUUAGAAGCAAGAAAAAUGGAGAAUUGAUACUC
Long non-coding RNA from Hipposideros armiger (great roundleaf bat), 888 nucleotides. RefSeq lists it as uncharacterized. NCBI's taxonomy places the organism in Eukaryota, Metazoa, Chordata, Mammalia, Chiroptera, Hipposideridae. The transcript is spliced from 4 exons. The record is from RefSeq and is a predicted model, not a curated record.